RNAcentral lists this ribosomal RNA (641 nucleotides) under uncultured bacterium. Its description in RNAcentral is "bacterial SSU rRNA". It matches the Rfam family "Bacterial small subunit ribosomal RNA", at positions 86 to 743 of the family's 1533-position model. The record is from RNAcentral.
CAGAGGACAGUGGCGGACGGGUGAGUAACGCGUGAGGAACCUGCCUUUCAGAGGGGGACAACAGUUGGAAACGACUGCUAAUACCGCAUGACGCAUUGAGGUCGCAUGGCCUUAAUGUCAAAGAUUUAUCGCUGAAAGAUGGCCUCGCGUCUGAUUAGCUAGUUGGUGAGGUAACGGCUCACCAAGGCGACGAUCAGUAGCCGGACUGAGAGGUUGAACGGCCACAUUGGGACUGAGAUACGGCCCAGACUCCUACGGGAGGCAGCAGUGGGGAAUAUUGGGCAAUGGGCGCAAGCCUGACCCAGCAACGCCGCGUGAAGGAAGAAGGCUUUCGGGUUGUAAACUUCUUUUGUCAGGGACGAGUAGAAGACGGUACCUGACGAAUAAGCCACGGCUAACUACGUGCCAGCAGCCGCGGUAAUACGUAGGUGGCAAGCGUUGUCCGGAUUUACUGGGUGUAAAGGGCGUGUAGCCGGGAGGGCAAGUCAGAUGUGAAAUCCACGGGCUUAACUCGUGAACUGCAUUUGAAACUGUUCUUCUUGAGUAUCGGAGAGGCAAUCGGAAUUCCUAGUGUAGCGGUGAAAUGCGUAGAUAUUAGGAGGAACACCAGUGGCGAAGGCGGAUUGCUGGACGACAACUGA